UUCGCCCUUAGAGUUUGAUCCUGGCUCAGGACGAACGCUGGCGGCGCGCCUAACACAUGCAAGUCGAACGAGCGAGAGAGAGCUUGCUUUCUUGAGCGAGUGGCGAACGGGUGAGUAACGCGUGAGGAACCUGCCUCAAAGAGGGGGACAACAGUUGGAAACGACUGCUAAUACCGCAUAAGCCCACGGCUCGGCAUCGAGCAGAGGGAAAAGGAGCAAUCCGCUUUGAGAUGGCCUCGCGUCCGAUUAGCUGGUUGGUGAGGUAACGGCCCACCAAGGCGACGAUCGGUAGCCGGACUGAGAGGUUGAACGGCCACAUUGGGACUGAGACACGGCCCAGACUCCUACGGGAGGCAGCAGUGGGGAAUAUUGCACAAUGGGGGAAACCCUGAUGCAGCGACGCCGCGUGGAGGAAGAAGGUCUUCGGAUUGUAAACUCCUGUUGUUGAGGAAGAUAAUGACGGUACUCAACAAGGAAGUGACGGCUAACUACGUGCCAGCAGCCGCGGUAAAACGUAGGUCACAAGCGUUGUCCGGAAUUACUGGGUGUAAAGGGAGCGCAGGCGGGAAGACAAGUUGGAAGUGAAAUCCAUGGGCUCAACCCAUGAACUGCUUUCAAAACUGUUUUUCUUGAGUAGUGCAGAGGUAGGCGGAAUUCCCGGUGUAGCGGUGGAAUGCGUAGAUAUCGGGAGGAACACCAGUGGCGAAGGCGGCCUACUGGGCACCAACUGACGCUGAGGCUCGAAAGUGUGGGUAGCAAACAGGAUUAGAUACCCUGGUAGUCCACACUGUAAACGAUGAUUACUAGGUGUUGGAGGAUUGACCCCUUCAGUGCCGCAGUUAACACAAUAAGUAAUCCACCUGGGGAGUACGACCGCAAGGUUGAAACUCAAAGGAAUUGACGGGGGCCCGCACAAGCAGUGGAGUAUGUGGUUUAAUUCGACGCAACGCGAAGAACCUUACCAAGUCUUGACAUCCUGCGACGGUGCUGGAAACAGUACUUUCCUUCGGGACGCAGAGACAGGUGGUGCAUGGUUGUCGUCAGCUCGUGUCGUGAGAUGUUGGGUUAAGUCCCGCAACGAGCGCAACCCUUAUGGUCAGUUACUACGCAAGGGGACUCUGGCCAGACUGCCGUUGACAAAACGGAGGAAGGUGGGGAUGACGUCAAAUCAUCAUGCCCUUUAUGACUUGGGCUACACACGUACUACAAUGGCGUUAAACAAAGAGAAGCAAGACCGCGAGGUGGAGCAAAACUCAGAAACAACGUCCCAGUUCGGACUGCAGGCUGCAACUCGCCUGCACGAAGUCGGAAUUGCUAGUAAUCGCAGAUCAGCAUGCUGCGGUGAAUACGUUCCCGGGCCUUGUACACACCGCCCGUCA
RNAcentral lists this ribosomal RNA (1379 nucleotides) under uncultured bacterium. Its description in RNAcentral is "16S ribosomal RNA". It matches the Rfam family "Bacterial small subunit ribosomal RNA". The record is from RNAcentral.